UACGUAGGUGGCGAGCGUUGUCCGGAUUUACUGGGCGUAAAGGGAGCGUAGGCGGACUUUUAAGUGAGAUGUGAAAUACUCGGGCUCAACUUGGGUGCUGCAUUUCAAACUGGAAGUCUAGAGUGCAGGAGAGGAGAAUGGAAUUCCUAGUGUAGCGGUGAAAUGCAUAGAGAUUAGGAAGAACACCAGUGGCGAAGGCGAUUCUCUGGACUGUAACUGACGCUGAGGCUCGAAAGCGUGGGGAGCAAACAGG
This 253-nucleotide ribosomal RNA is filed under the name uncultured bacterium. RNAcentral describes it as "partial 16S ribosomal RNA". It matches the Rfam family "Bacterial small subunit ribosomal RNA", at positions 524 to 776 of the family's 1533-position model. The record is from RNAcentral.